UAGACAGAUGCCCGCUGGUUUGAGCGCUUAGCUGUUAACUAAGAGUUUGUGGGAUCGAGGCCUCCUGUCUAG
This 72-nucleotide transfer RNA is filed under the name Synodus variegatus (variegated lizardfish). Its description in RNAcentral is "tRNA-Asn". Lineage: Eukaryota; Metazoa; Chordata; Actinopteri; Aulopiformes; Synodontidae. The record is from RNAcentral.